This 1354-nucleotide long non-coding RNA is filed under the name Capsicum annuum. RNAcentral's name for it is "long non-coding RNA (CANN_LNC011239)". The record is from RNAcentral. Lineage: Eukaryota; Viridiplantae; Streptophyta; Magnoliopsida; Solanales; Solanaceae.
UUUGAUUUAUCUAUCCUACAAAGCUUUCCACAAGAAAAUAUAUUCUUGGAAAAGGUUUGUGCCUACUUUACAAGAUAAGCAUGAUGGGAUAAGAGCAAUAGGAGCAUCAUAACCAACAAAGCAACAAGUGGUGGGGCACAAGAACCUAUACCUUAGAGAAAUCAUUGUUCUAUUUCUCGACCACCUUCCUUGUGUGGCAAUUAUUCAUGCAACCUCACAUUCCAUUUUAUCUCCAUGUCCUUUAUCUACUGCUUGAAUUGUGAUAAAAGAAAAUGAAACUUAGGUCUAACUCAACCUCAAAAACUAGCUCAUGAGGGGAGAAUUACCCAAUACCAUAUAAGGAAACUGAAGACCCUUUAACCCACCGAUGUGGGACUCCAACACCCCCCGCACGCCCAGGGAUGGACAUGUGGAGCAUGGACAAUAUAAGACGGGGGGUCCAACAUUGGAAACAAUGAAUUGGGUGGGCCUGACUUUGAUAUCAUUAUAAAGAAAUGGACCUUGGACCUAACUCAACCUCAAAAGUUAACUAACUCAACCUCACAAGCUCAAAAGUUAGCUCAAGAGGUGAGGAUUAUCCAACUUCAUAUAAGCAAACCACUAGUCCAUUCUCCAACCAAUGUGGGACUUUUACCCACUCUAACACCCCCCACGCCCAGGCCCAACUGCCACUGGCGCGUGGACCGGGAGCCCAAAAUGGGGAUGGACCGAGCUCUGAUACCAUGUCAAGAAUGGACCUUGCGCCUAACUCAACCGCAAAAGUUAGCUUAUGAGGGGAGGAUUGCCCAAGACCAUAUAAGGAGAUUAAGGACCCUUUAACCCACCGAUGCGAGACUCCAACAAAUUGAUUUCUUCUUUUUUCGUCGUUGUUUUUUCUGCCUGUCAUGUUGUUAAAGAUGAGAAUAUAUAAGAAGCAUAAAGUUUGUAGGACCAAGGGAAUUUCUUUUUAUACUUCAGUGUUAUAUAUGCACAAUCAUGGCGACCUAAACAUACUCUCUUAGCGGUUUUAAGACUUUUUAUAUACAUCAAUUAUUUAUUCUUUGUUUUUUUUAGCUUAAAAGAACACUUUUCUUCAAAAUCUCAAAAUCCUAAGAUUGUAAGUUCUAGUCACCAUGGACGCAAAAAGGACAGGAGCUUCUAAGGAUGGAUAAAAGAAAAGUGGAGUUUGUAAAUUCAGUUUUUGAAGAGUUUCAAAUGUGUAUAUUUGAUUUGAUAUGUUUAUGAAAGUAAUAAUUAACUUUUUAGUUGGCUUAAAUGAAUGAAAUAUUAGGAAGUGGACAUAAAAUGGACUUUUUUUGAAGAACAUAGAAAUGAUUUUAGAAUAAAAAUUGGUGCAUUAUAUCCACCAGGGGCC